CAGUACCGUGAGGGAAAGGUGAAAAGGACCCCGGGAGGGGAGUGAAAGAGAACCUGAAACCUUGUGCUUACAAGCAGUCAAAGCACGUUAAAGUGUGAUGACGUACUUUUUGUAGAACGGUCCGGCGAGUUAUAGUAACGAGCAAGCUUAAGGUAUUGAGUACCGGAGGCGAAGCGAGAGCGAGUCUGAAUAGGGCGUAAAGUUCGUUGCCAUAGACCCGAAACCGGGUGACCUAUCCAUGAGCAGGCUGAAGUGAGAGUAAAAUCUCAUGGAGGGCCGAACCGACCCCCGUUGCAAUGGUGGCGGAUGACUUGUGGAUAGCGGAGAAAUUCCAAUCGAACUCGGAGAUAGCUGGUUCUCCCCGAAAUAGCUUUAGGGCUAGCGUUAUGUUAGAUUACCGGAGGUAAAGCACUGAAUGGUGGCGGGGCCGAUAAGGUUACCAAGACCUAUCAAACUCUGAAUGCCGGAUAAUUGAUGCAUAGCAGUCAGACAGCGUGAGAUAAGUUUCGUUGUCAAAAGGGAAACAGCCCAGACCCACAGCUAAGGUCCCAAAUUCAUGCUAAGUGGAAAACGAUGUGGAAUUGCGAAAACAACCAGGAUGUUGGCUUAGAAGCAGCCACUCAUUAAAAGAGUGCGUAAUAGCUCACUGGUCGAGUGACUCUGCGCGGAAAAUAUAACGGGGCUAAGCAUGAAACCGAAGCUUGGGCUUGUACUUAGGUACAGGGGUAGGGGAGCGUCGAGUACGGGGUGAAGUCAGAGCGGAAGCACUGGUGGACUGUACUGGAGUGAGAAUGCCGGAAUGAGUAGCGAGAAUUAUGUGGGAAUCAUAAUGGCCGAAAAUCUAAGGUUUCUUGGGGAAGGUUCGUCCGCCCAAGGUAAGUCGGGAGCUAAGCUCAGGCCGAGAGGCGUAGGCGAUGCACAUACGGUAGAAAUUCCGUAACCACCGAAACUUAAACAGAGGGACACUUCAGGAUAGCGGAACCCGGGCGUUGGUUGACCCGGGCGAAAGGGAGCGAAAUAAGAGUAGCGAAGUCCGCGAUGCCUGGAGGCGAGAAAAGCUCUGAGGUAUGCUAAGGUGCCCGUACCGCAAACCGACACAGGUAGAUGAGGAGAGAAUCCUAAGGCCAACGGGAGAAGGGUUGUUAAGGAACUCGGCAAAUUGACCCCGUAACUUCGGAAGAAGGGGAGCCCCCUACGGGGGGUCGCAGAGAAAUGGCCCAAGCAACUGUUUACCAAAAACACAGGUCUAUGCUAAAUCGAAAGAUGACGUAUAUGGGCUGACGCCUGCCCGGUGCCGGAAGGUUAAGAGGAGAUGUCAGGCAACGAAGCAUUGAAUUUAAGCCCCGGUAAACGGCGGCCGUAACUAUAACGGUCCUAAGGUAGCGAAAUUCCUUGUCAGGUAAGUUCUGACCCGCACGAAUGGCGUAAUGAUUUGGGCACUGUCUCAACAGCCCGCCCGGCGAAAUUGUAGUACUGGUGAAGAUGCCAGUUACCCGCAACUAGACGGAAAGACCCCAUGGAGCUUUACUGCAGCUUAAUACUGAAAUUCGGUAGUACAUGUACAGGAUAGGUGGGAGACUGAGAAAUACAGGCGUCAGCUUGUAUGGAGUCGCUGUUGGGAUACCACUCUUGUACUGCUGGGUUUCUAACCUGCGGCCGUGAAUCCGGUCGGGGGACACUGUUAGGCGGGCAGUUUGACUGGGGCGGUCGCCUCCCAAAAGGUAACGGAGGCGCUCAAAGGUUCGUUCAGCACGGACGGAAAUCGUGCAAUGAGUGUAAACGCAUAAACGAGCCUAACUGCGACACCGACGGGUGGAGCAGUAACGAAAGUUGGAGUUAGUGAUCCGGUGGUAUGUGAGUGGAAAUGCCAUCGCUCAACGGAUAAAAGCUACCCUGGGGAUAACAGGCUGAUCUCCCCCAAGCGUCCACAGCGACGGGGAGGUUUGGCACCUCGAUGUCGGCUCGUCGCAUCCUGGGGCUGAAUUCGGUCCCAAGGGUUUGGCUGUUCGCCAAUUAAAGCGGCACGCGAGCUGGGUUCAGAACGUCGUGAGACAGUUCGGUCCCUAUCUGUUGCGGGCGUAAGAGAUUUGAAGGGAGCUGUCCUUAGUACGAGAGGACCGGGAUGGACGUACCUCUGGUGCACCAGUUGUCCUGCCAAGGGCAUAGCUGGGUAGCUAUGUACGGACGAGAUAAACGCUGAAAGCAUCUAAGCGUGAAACUCCCCCUAAGAUGAGAUCUCUCAUCCUUUA
This 2249-nucleotide ribosomal RNA is filed under the name human gut metagenome. RNAcentral describes it as "bacterial LSU rRNA". It matches the Rfam family "Bacterial large subunit ribosomal RNA", at positions 496 to 2823 of the family's 2925-position model. The record is from RNAcentral.